UACGAAGGGGGCUAGCGUUGCUCGGAAUGACUGGGCGUAAAGGGCGCGUAGGCGGGUCUUUUAAGUCAGGGGUGAAAUCCUGGAGCUCAACUCCAGAACUGCCUUUGAUACUGAGGAUCUUGAGUUCAGGAGAGGUGAGUGGAACUGCGAGUGUAGAGGUGAAAUUCGUAGAUAUUCGCAAGAACACCAGUGGCGAAGGCGGCUCACUGGCCCGAUACUGACGCUGAGGCACGAAAGCGUGGGGAGCAAACAGGG
Molecule: ribosomal RNA, 255 nt
Filed under: uncultured bacterium
Lineage: Bacteria
Description: partial 16S ribosomal RNA
Rfam family: Bacterial small subunit ribosomal RNA
Source: RNAcentral